Molecule: long non-coding RNA, 7741 nt
Filed under: Gossypium barbadense (sea-island cotton)
Lineage: Eukaryota; Viridiplantae; Streptophyta; Magnoliopsida; Malvales; Malvaceae
Description: long non-coding RNA (GBAR_LNC014632)
Source: RNAcentral
AAAAAGUGAAAGAUGGCAUGCCAAGAUCUUGUUGUUGUUGUGGCACUUAUUUUCAUGGUUGUUGUUGGGGCAUUUGUAGUCGAAUCGUCACCUUCACCAGUCCCUUCCAAGGCAUCUUCACCUUCGAAGUCACCAUCUACUUCUUCUCAGGCUUCAUCCCCCAAGUCCCCCUCCAUUAAGUCACUGUCACAAGACUCCAAUGGCUCAUCUUUUUCACCAUCAAAAUCCCACGAAGGAGCACCCAAGUCAUCUCAUCCUGGUGCCCCAAUGAGCUCUUCAAGCUCCUCUUCCCCUAAUCCUAGUCAAAGCGACAACCCUAACGCCAACAAAGGAUACUCUUCUGAGGUUGAGUCUCCUGAAGAGGUCUCAUCACCUCCUUGACCAACUGCCAAUGAUGAAGUUUCUCACUCCCCUACUCCUAGCCCUGAAAGCACGGGUGAUGUUGUCGAUAGUGAGACCCUUGCACCAGCACCCUCUAAUGCCAUUGAAAUAAAGUCCACCACUUGUAUUGUCAGUGUUGUAACUCUUGUCGGACUCUUCCUCUUUUAAGCUUCACAUGCAUAAGUUAAUGGAAGGCCUUGAGAUGUGCUUUAUAGUUACCUUUAAUAUUUAUUAAAAAAGUCCUAUUUAUAUGCUAAUUAAAAUUGUACUUUUGAAGCCUGAAAUAAAAUUUAUAAUAUAUAUUUUUUAAUUAAUGUACUAAUAGUGAAUCAAAACCUGUUAAUAUCUGGCAUUAAAUAAGUUUGAAGCACUGAUUAAGCUUGUUUAAGAAUUUUCAUGAUUAAGGUCUAACUUGAGGUAGUUAAAGCUUGUCCGUAUUCAAGCUCAAGCUUAGCCUAAUAAUUACGUUUAGGUUAAUAAUAUAUACUAAAGAUGAUAACAUAUUUUAAUAAUAUAAAAACAUUUAAAAUAUACAUUAAAAAUAAAAGUCUCGAUAAGGCUCACGAGCUAUUCAAGCAAGUAUUUUGUAAUAGCCUAAUUUUAGGGUUAGUCAAGACAGUGGUUUUUGGACCACAAUAUGAGGUCAAAAUAAUUAUUUUAUUAUUUUAUUAAUGUUUACAGUAUCAUAGAAUGUUCGUGUAAAAAUUUCGUAAAGAGAUUUUAUCGUUUAAGUGUUUAAUUGGUAAAAAGGACUAAAUCGCUUAAAGCGUAAAAAUUGAGUUCUAAUAGCUAAAAGUGUUUAAAUUCUCUAGAAUUUAAAGGAGGAAGUCCUUAUGUGUUAAUUAGUCCAAUUAUGAGAUAGUGGCUAAAAAUGGUUUGGUAAUGUGGUAAAUUGAAUUGAUUUUUAAGGUUAAAUUUGUAAUAUGGUAAUUAAGUAAAGUAAAAAUAAAAUAAACAAAGGUGUCAUCUUCCACCCAUUAUAUUUCCACCAAAAAAUGAGAAAGAAAACACCAUGGAUAUGGCUUCAAAGGUUUGGCCAUCUUAAGAUUAAAUUAUAAGUUCAUUUUUGACUCGGUUUUUAAUAAUUUCUACGUUUUUUAGAUCAUUGCUUCGAAAUCUAGCUAGCCCGUACCUCUGAUUUCAAAACUGUUAAAGAUUUUGAUAGUUGUCAUUGUUGAAUAUAUGUGUUAAUUGAAGUUUGAUGAUGAAAUAUGAAAUUUUGAUGAUAGUUUUACAUGUUCAGUAAAGUGAUUUUGAGUAAAAAUGUCAAUUUUGGACUAAAUUAAGAAAAAUGAUAGAUCGUGUGGUAAAAGUGUGAAUAAAUAAAAAAUGUUGGCUUUUAUGGAAAUAAUAAAAAUUCAGCUAGCUUGGGUUUGUGUUUAAUUUUAUGAAAUUGUGAUUUUAUGUGACAAUGACUGAAUUGCAAAAAUGUGAAAGUUUAGGGGUAAAAGUGUAAAAUUGCCAUAAUGUGUAAAUUGUGUUAAAUUGAGUGAAUUAGUGAUUAAAUAAGGUAAUUUUUUUAAUAUAUAGAUUGAGAAAAAUAAGAUUUGGACCUAGAAAUAGGACAAAAACUAUGUAUUGGAUUAGUCGACCUAAUUCGUCGUUUCAACGAACGAGGUAAGUUCAUAUGUUAAAUAAUGUUCUUAAAUUGUGUUCUAAAUGUCCAUUUAUCAUUGAAUUGAUAUGAAUAUUGAUUGGAUGAGUACGACCAUGAAUCGAAAAAGUUACGACGUUUGAAAGUCCCGUACGAACAUUUGGAAUAGCUUAGGAUACUAAGAUGUGAUUACGUGUAAGACCAUGUCUGGGACAUUGGCAUUCUUACGUGAUUCGUGUAAGACCAUGUAUGGGACAUUGGCAUCGAUACGAUAUUCGUGUAAGACCAUGUUUGGGAUGUUGGCAUCGAUAUGAAAUUCGUGUAAGACCAUAGUUGGCUAUUGGCAUUGAUAUGUGAUAACAUGUAAGACCAUAUCUGGGAUAUGGCAUUGUGCGAGUUAUACGAGAUUUUUGAGUAUCCUUAGCAAUUCUUAAUGGUUCAACGGGGAAAUUCAAGAGGAGAAUAAAAGUGUAAACGAAAUAAGUGGUACAGGUAUGUACGAUACUCAUACGUAUAUUGAAUGAAAGAAGAUUGAUAAAUAGAUGUGAGCUCGUGUAUAUUACAUGGAAAUGUUUGAGUUUAUGUAAGUGUUUGAUUUAUAUAAAUGCUUAUUGAGGAUAUCGAAUUUCACAUUAUGAGUAAGUGGAUAGUUAUGAGAAAUCCAUAUAGUUGGUUUAUGUGGCAUGUAUAGGCUAGUUGAUUGGAUGAGUACGACCAUGAAUCGAAAAAGUUACGACGUUUGAAAGUCCCGUACGAACAUUUGAAAUAGCUUAGGAUACUAAGAUGUGAUUACGUGUAAGACCAUGUCUGGGACAUUGGCAUUCUUACGUGAUUCGUGUAAGACCAUGUAUGGGACAUUGGCAUCGAUACGAUAUUCGUGUAAGACCAUGUCUGGGAUGUUGGCAUCGAUAUGAAAUUCGUGUAAGACCAUAGUUGGCUAUUGGCAUUGAUAUGUGAUAACAUGUAAGACCAUAUCUGGGAUAUGGCAUUGUGCGAGUUAUACGAGAUUUUUGAGUAUCCUUAGCAAUUCUUAAUGGUUCAACGGGGAAAUUCAAGAGGAGAAUAAAAGUGUAAACGAAAUAAGUGGUACAGGUAUGUACGAUACUCAUACGUAUAUGGAAUGAAAGAAGAUUGAUAAAUAGAUGUGAGCUCGUGUAUAUUACAUGGAAAUGUUUGAGUUUAUGUAAGUGUUUGAUUUAUAUAAAUGCUUAUUGAGGAUAUCGAAUUUCACAUUAUGAGUAAGGUUUUGUUAUAAGUAUCAAUAUGAUUACUAACAAUUUUUUUAAUUCACUAUUUUAAAAUAAAAAUGCAAGUAUAAACAAACAUUAACUAUUCAAUUAGAUUUUGAUUCCAAAGAAAAAAAUCAUAACAAAUAGAAGUUAAACAAGCCUAAUAAAAAAUAGAACAAAACCUUAAUAUAGUAUUGUGAGAUGUUAAAGGUUCAAUUUUAGUUCAUAAGAAAAUCACUUCUCUUACAUGCACAUAUUAUAUAUAUAUAUCAAUCUUUUAAUAAACAAAGAUAACAAGUUAUAAGAAAAUAUUAAAAAGAAAAAGUGAAAGAUGGCAUGCCAAGAUCUUGUUGUUGUUGUGGCACUUAUUUUCAUGGUUGUUGUUGGGGCAUUUGUAGUCGAAUCGUCACCUUCACCAGUCCCUUCCAAGGCAUCUUCACCUUCGAAGUCACCAUCUCCUUCUUCUCUGGCUUCAUCCCCCAAGUCCCCCUCCAUUAAGUCACCGUCACAAGACUCCAAUGGCUCAUCUUUUUCACCAUCAAAAUCCCACGAAGGAGCACCCAAGUCAUCUCAUCCUGGUGCCCCAAUGAGCUCUUCAAGCUCCUCUUCCCCUAAUCCUAGUCAAAGCGACAACCCUAACGCCAACAAAGGAUACUCUUCCGAGGUUGAGUCUCCUGAAGAGGUCUCAUCACCUCCUUGACCAACUGCCAAUGAUGAAGUUUCUCACUCCCCUACUCCUAGCCCUGAAAGCACGGGUGAUGUUGUCGAUAGUGAGACCCUUGCACCAGCACCCUCUAAUGCCAUUGAAAUAAAGUCCACCACUUGUAUUGUCAGUGUUGUAACUCUUGUCGGACUCUUCCUCUUUUAAGCUUCACAUGCAUAAGUUCAUGGAAGGCCUUGAGAUGUGCUUUAUAGUUACCUUUAAUAUUUAUUAAAAAAAGUCCUAUUUAUAUGCUAAUUAAAAUUGUACUUUUGAAGCCUGAAAUAAAAUUUAUAAUAUAUAUUUUUUAAUUAAUGUACUAAUAGUGAAUCAAAACCUGUUAAUAUCUGGCAUUAAAUAAGUUUGAAGCACUGAUUAAGCUUGUUUAAGAAUUUUCAUGCUUAAGGUCUAACUUGAGGUAGUUAAAGCUUUUCCGUAUUCAAGCUCAAGCUUAGCCUAAUAAUUAAGUUUAGGUUAAUAAUAUAUACUAAAGAUGAUAACAUAUUUUAAUAAUAUAAAAACAUUUAAAUAUAUAUUAAAAAUAAAAGUCUCGAUAAGGCUCACGAGCUAUUCAGGCAAGUAUUUUGUAAUAGCCUAAUUUUAGGGUUAGUCAAGACAAUGGUUUUUGGACCACAAUAUGAGGUCAAAAUAAUUAUUUUAUUAUUUUAUUAAUGUUUACAGUAUCAUAGAAUGUUCGUGUAAAAAUUUCGUAAAGAAAUUUUAUCGUUUAAGUGUUUAAUUGGUAAAAAGGACUAAAUCGCUUAAAGCGUAAAAAUUGAGUUCUAAUAGCUAAAAGUGUUUAGAUUCUCUAGAAUUUAAAGGAGGAAGUCCUUAUGUGUUAAUUAGUCCAAUUAUGAGAUAGUGGCUGAAAAUGGUUUGGUAAUGUGGUAAAUUGAAUUAAUUUUUAAGGUUAAAUUUGUAAUAUGGUAAUUACGUAAAGUAAAAAUAAAAUAAACAAAGGUGUCAACUUCCACCCAUUAUUUUUCCACCAAAAAAUGAGAAAGAAAACACCAUGGAUAUGCCUUCAAAGGUUUGGCCAUCUUAAGAUUAAAUUGUAAGUUCAUUUUUGACUCGGUUUUUAAUAAUUUCUACGUUUUUUAGAUCAUUGCUUCGAAAUCUAGCUAGCCCGUACCUCUGAUUUCAAAACUGUUAAAGAUUUUGAUAGUUGUCAUUGUUGAAUAUAUGUGUUAAUUGAAGUUUGAUGAUGAAAUAUGAAAUUUUGAUGAUAGUUUUACAUGUUCAGUAAAGUGAUUUUGAGUAAAAAUGUCAAUUUUGGACUAAAUUAAGAAAAAUGAUAGAUCGUGUGGUAAAAGUGUGAAUAAAUAAAAAAUGUUGGCUUUUAUGGAAAUAAUAAAAAUUCAGCUAGCUUGGGUUUGUGUUUAAUUUUAUGAAAUUGUGAUUUUAUGUGACAAGGACUGAAUUGCAAAAAUGUGAAAGUUUAGGGGCAAAAGUGUAAAAUUUCCAUAAUGUGUAAAUUGUGUUAAAUUGAGUGAAUUAGUGAUUAAAUAAGGUAAUUUUUUUAAUAUAUAGAUUGAGAAAAAUAAGAUUUGGACCUAGAAAUAGGACAAAAACUAUGUAUUGGAUUAGUCGACCUAAUUCGUCGUUUCAACGAACGAGGUAAGUUCAUAUGUUAAAUAAUGUUCUUAAAUUGUGUUCUAAAUGUCCAUUUAUCAUUGAAUUGAUAUGAAUAUUGAUUGGAUGAGUACGACCAUGAAUCGAAAAAGUUACGACGUUUGAAAGUCCCGUACGAACAUUUGGAAUAGCUUAGGAUACUAAGAUGUGAUUACGUGUAAGACCAUGUCUGGGACAUUGGCAUUCUUACGUGAUUCGUGUAAGACCAUGUAUGGGACAUUGGCAUCGAUACGAUAUUCGUGUAAGACCAUGUCUGGGAUGUUGGCAUCGAUAUGAAAUUCGUGUAAGACCAUAGUUGGCUAUUGGCAUUGAUAUGUGAUAACAUGUAAGACCAUAUCUGGGAUAUGGCAUUGUGCGAGUUAUACGAGAUUUUUGAGUAUCCUUAGCAAUUCUUAAUGGUUCAACGGGGAAAUUCAAGAGGAGAAUAAAAGUGUAAACGAAAUAAGUGGUACAGGUAUGUACGAUACUCAUACGUAUAUUGAAUGAAAGAAGAUUGAUAAAUAGAUGUGAGCUCUUGUAUAUUACAUGGAAAUGUUUGAGUUUAUGUAAGUGUUUGAUUUAUAUAAAUGCUUAUUGAGGAUAUCGAAUUUCACAUUAUGAGUAAGUGGAUAGUUAUGAGAAAUCCAUAUAGUUGGUUUAUGUGGCAUGUAUAGGCUAGUUGAUUGGAUGAGUACGACCAUGAAUCGAAAAAGUUACGACGUUUGAAAGUCCCGUACGAACAUUUGAAAUAGCUUAGGAUACUAAGAUGUGAUUACGUGUAAGACCAUGUCUGGGACAUUGGCAUUCUUACGUGAUUCGUGUAAGACCAUGUAUGGGACAUUGGCAUCGAUACGAUAUUCGUGUAAGACCAUGUCUGGGAUGUUGGCAUCGAUAUGAAAUUCGUGUAAGACCAUAGUUGGCUAUUGGCAUUGAUAUGUGAUAACAUGUAAGACCAUAUCUGGGAUAUGGCAUUGUGCGAGUUAUACGAGAUUUUUGAGUAUCCUUAGCAAUUCUUAAUGGUUCAACGGGGAAAUUCAAGAGGAGAAUAAAAGUGUAAACGAAAUAAGUGGUACAGGUAUGUACGAUACUCAUACGUAUAUGGAAUGAAAGAAGAUUGAUAAAUAGAUGUGAGCUCGUGUAUAUUACAUGGAAAUGUUUGAGUUUAUGUAAGUGUUUGAUUUAUAUAAAUGCUUAUUGAGGAUAUCGAAUUUCACAUUAUGAGUAAGGUUUUGUUAUAAGUAUCAAUAUGAUUACUAACAAUUUUUUUAAUUCACUAUUUUAAAAUAAAAAUGCAAGUAUAAACAAACAUUAACUAUUCAAUUAGAUUUUGAUUCCAAAGAAAAAAAUCAUAACAAAUAGAAGUUAAACAAGCCUAAUAAAAAAUAGAACAAAACCUUAAUAUAGUAUUGUGAGAUGUUAAAGGUUCAAUUUUAGUUCAUAAGAAAAUCACUUCUCUUACAUGCACAUAUUAUAUAUAUAUAUCAAUCUUUUAAUAAACAAAGAUAACAAGUUAUAAGAAAAUAUUAAAAAGAAAAAGUGAAAGAUGGCAUGCCAAGAUCUUGUUGUUGUUGUGGCACUUAUUUUCAUGGUUGUUGUUGGGCAUUUGUAGUCGAAUCGUCACCUUCACCAGUCCCUUCCAAGGCAUCUUCACCUUCGAAGUCACCAUCUCCUUCUUCUCUGGCUUCAUCCCCCAAGUCCCCCUCCAUUAAGUCACCGUCACAAGACUCCUAUGGCUCAUCUUUUUCACCAUCAAAAUCCCACGAAGGAGCACCCAAGUCAUCUCAUCCUGGUGCCCCAAUGAGCUCUUCAAGCUCCUCUUCCCCUAAUCCUAGUCAAAGCGACAACCCUAACGCCAACAAAGGAUACUCUUCCGAGGUUGAGUCUCCUGAAGAGGUCUCAUCACCUCCUUCACCAACUGCCAAUGAUGAAGUUUCUCACUCCCCUACUCCUAGCCCUGAAAGCACGGGUGAUGUUGUCGAUAGUGAGACCCUUGCACCAGCACCCUCUAAUGCCAUUGAAAUAAAGUCCACCACUUGUAUUGUCAGUGUUGUAACUCUUGUCGGACUCUUCCUCUUUUAAGCUUCACAUGCAUAAGUUCAUGGAAGGCCUUGAGAUGUGCUUUAUAGUUACCUUUAAUAUUUAUUAAAAAAAGUCCUAUUUAUAUGCUAAUUAAAAUUGUACUUUUGAAGCCUGAAAUAAAAUUUAUAAUAUAUAUUUUUUAAUUAA